UUUGGUCAAGAUAAUAAGGGCAAUUGGUGGAUGCCUAGGCAUAUAGAGGCGAUGAAGGACGUGGCUAGCUGCGAUAAGCUUCGGUGAGGUGCAAACAACCUUUGAUCCGGAGAUUUCCGAAUGGGGCAACCCUUCAUGAGUAAUAUCAUGAAACUUCCGGUUGAAUAUAUAGACCGGAUAGAGCGAACGGGGAGAAUUGAAACAUCUUAGUAACCCCUGGAAAAGAAAACAACCGUGAUUCUCCUAGUAGCGGCGAGCGAACGGGGAAUAGCCCAAAUCUGUUUUAUGUUCAAGCCUGCCGGCGUUGUAAAACAGGCGUAGCGGGGCGAUUUUGGAGAGAUCGGCAGGUCUCUCGACAAGUCAAAAAUCUGCACAUUAUUUGAAUAGCUCUGGAAAGGGCUAACCGCAGAAGGUGAUAGUCCUGUAGAAGAAAAUCUGCAGACUUGUUGAAAGUCGUUCCCAAGUACCACGGAUCACGAGGAAUUUUGUGGGAAUCUACCGGGACCACCCGGAAAGGCUAAAUACUCCUAUAUGACCGAUAGUGAACUAGUACCGCGAGGGAAAGGUGAAAAGUACUCCUGACGGAGAGUGAAAUAGAACCUGAAACCGAUUGCUUACAAUCUGUCGGAGUCCGCCUAUGGCGGAUGACGGCGUGCCUUUUGCAUAAUGAGCCAGCGAGUUGCUCGUAGGUUGCGAGAUUAAUCCAAAACGGAGGAGUCGCAGCGAAAGCGAGUUUUAAUAGAACGAAUAGUAACUUGCGGCAGACCCGAAGCCGGGUGAUCUAUCCAUGGACAGGAUGAAGUUCCGGUAACACGGAAUGGAGGUCCGAACUCACCAGCGUUGAAAAACUGGGGGAUGAGCUGUGGAUAGGGGUGAAAGGCCAAUCAAACCCGGUGAUAGCUGGUUCUCCCCGAAAUAUUUUUAGGAAUAGCCUUGCAUGUAGUGUAGCGGAGGUAGAGCUCUGAAUGGACUAGGGGUCUUACCAGAUUACCAAAUCCAACCAAACUCCAAAUGCCGUUUACAUGCUGUGCAGGAGUCAGGCUGCGGGGGAUAAGCUUCGUGGCCGAGAGGGAAAUAACCCAGAUCGAUAGCUAAGGUCCCUAAAUACAGGGUAAGUGAGUAAGGAUGUGAAAUUACACAGACAGCUAGGAUGUUGGCUUAGAAGCAGCCACCAUUUAAAGAGUGCGUAAUUGCUCACUAGUCAAGUGGUUUUGCGCCGAUAAUUUACGGGACUGUAAACCCUGUUACCGAAGCUUCGGACACCGACACUUGUGUCGGUUUGGUAGGGGAGCGUUCCAUCAACCUGUGAAGGUCAAUCGUGAGGUUGGCUGGAGGAAAUGGAAUUGAGUAUGCUGGCAUUAGUAGCGAUAAUUCCGAUGAGAUUUCGGAACACCGAAAGCCUAAGGUUUCCUGAGUAAAGUAAAUCUGCUCAGGGUUAGUCGGGCCCUAAGCCGAGGCCGAGAGGCGUAGGCGAUGGAUAACAGGUUGAAUAUUCCUGUACCGUCUGUUUGUCGUUUGAGCUAUGGGGUGACGCAGGAGUGAAAGGUCAGCCGGGUGUUGAACGUCCCGGUUUAAGCAGGUAGAGGGAUCUGAUUGGCAAAUCCGUUAGGUCAUACCUCGAGACGCGAAUAGGAGUCCUCUGGACACAAACUGACCCUAAACAAGCUGACUAGAAAAGCCUCUAUGCGAGAUGAAUAGAUGUCCGUACCACAAACCGACACAGGUAGGCGAGGAGAGUAUCCUAAGGUGACGAGAUAGCUCUAGUUAAGGAACUAGGCAAAUUUGCCCCGUAACUUCGGAAUAUGGGACGCCUUGAGUAGGUCAAUCCGAUUACUUCGGUAAGCCGGAAGCGCCCAAAAAGGCCACAGUGAAAAGGUCUUGGCGACUGUUUACUAAAAACACAGGUCUAUGCUAAGCCGUAAGGCGAUGUAUAUGGACUGACACCUGCCCGGUGCUGGAAGGUUAAGGGGACGAGUCAUCCCGACUUGUCGGGAGAAGCCCUGAACUGAAGCCCCAGUAAACGGCGGCCGUAACUAUAACGGUCCUAAGGUAGCGAAAUUCCUUGUCGGGUAAGUUCCGACCCGCACGAAUGGUGUAACGACUUGGACACUGUCUCAACUAGAGCCUCGGCGAAUUUGUAAUGCCGGUGAAGAUGCCGGCUACCCGCAGCGGGACAGAAAGACCCCGGAACCUUUACUAUAACUUGGCAUUGGAUUUUGGUUUUGUACGUGUAGGAUAGGUGGGAGACUUUGAAGCGUCGACGCUAGUCGGCGUGGAGUCGUCCUUGAAAUACCACCCUUAUAAUGCUAGGAUUCUAACCCAUCCGCCUGAAUCGGCGGAGGGGACAUUGUCAGGCGGGUAGUUUGACUGGGGCGGUCGCCUCCUAAAGAGUAACGGAGGCUCCCAAAGGUUCCCUCAGCACGGUUGGUAAUCGUGCGCAGAGUGUAAAGGCAUAAGGGAGCUUAACUGCGAGACCAACAAGUCGAGCAGAUGCGAAAGCAGGGCUUAGUGAUCCGGCGGUAGCGAGUGGAAGUGCCGUCGCUCAAAGGAUAAAAGGUACUCUGGGGAUAACAGGCUGAUCUCCUCCAAGAGUUCACAUCGACGAGGAGGUUUGGCACCUCGAUGUCGGCCCGUCACAUCCUGGGGCUGGAGAAGGUCCCAAGGGUUGGGCUGUUCGCCCAUUAAAGUGGCACGCGAGCUGGGUUUAGAACGUCGUGAGACAGUUCGGUCCUUAUCCGCUGUGGGCGCAGGAGAUUUGAGGGGGGCUAUUCUUAGUACGAGAGGACCAGAAUGGACGAACCUCUGGUGUACCAGUUGUGCCGUCAGGUGCACCGCUGGGUAGCUAAGUUCGGUUAGGAUAAACGCUGAAAGCAUAUAAGUGUGAAACCUUCCCCAAGACGAGAUCUCCCUCCCGCCGAAAGGCGGGACUUAAGGCUCCUUGUAGAUUACAAGGUUGAUAGGUCAUAGAUGUAAGGCCAGUAAUGGUUUUAGUCGAGUGAUACUAAUAAGCCGUGCGUCUUGGCCAAA
This 3027-nucleotide ribosomal RNA is filed under the name Fidelibacterota bacterium CG08_land_8_20_14_0_20_45_22. Its description in RNAcentral is "bacterial LSU rRNA". It matches the Rfam family "Bacterial large subunit ribosomal RNA". Lineage: Bacteria; Pseudomonadati; Fidelibacterota. The record is from RNAcentral.